AACGAACGCUGGCGGCAUGCCUAACACAUGCGAGUCGAACGAGACCUUCGGGUCUAGUGGCGCACGGGUGCGUAACGCGUGGGAACCUGCCCUUAGGUUCGGAAUAACUCCCCGAAAGGGGUGCUAAUACCGGAUAAUGUCUUCGGACCAAAGAAUUAUCGCCUUUGGAUGGGCCCGCGUUGGAUUAGCUAGUUGGUAGGGUAAAAGCCUACCAAGGCGACGAUCCAUAGCUGGUCUGAGAGGAUGAUCAGCCACACUGGGACUGAGACACGGCCCAGACUCCUACGGGAGGCAGCAGUGGGGAAUAUUGGACAAUGGGCGAAAGCCUGAUCCAGCAAUGCCGCGUGAGUGAUGAAGGCCUUAGGGUUGUAAAGCUCUUUUACCCGGGAUGAUAAUGACAGUACCGGGAGAAUAAGCUCCGGCUAACUCCGUG
This 433-nucleotide ribosomal RNA is filed under the name uncultured bacterium. RNAcentral's name for it is "partial 16S ribosomal RNA". It matches the Rfam family "Bacterial small subunit ribosomal RNA", at positions 29 to 507 of the family's 1533-position model. The record is from RNAcentral.